This 73-nucleotide transfer RNA is filed under the name Chlamydomonas moewusii. RNAcentral's name for it is "tRNA-Met". It matches the Rfam family "tRNA". Rfam says of the family: Transfer RNA (tRNA) molecules are approximately 80 nucleotides in length. Lineage: Eukaryota; Viridiplantae; Chlorophyta; Chlorophyceae; Chlamydomonadales; Chlamydomonadaceae. The record is from RNAcentral.
UGGUGAUUAGCUCAAUGGUUAGAGCAUUGGUCUCAUAAACCAAGGGUUGUAAGUUCAAGUCUUGUAUCACCAA